CCAGGUCGCCUGCCGCGUCAGGGGCGAGAGGGCUUGAGCGCGUGUGAUGCUACGUCUUCGUUGUAGUGCUAGAACUAGAUGGGUGGUUCGUUUCUUGCCGUGCUAUCUUGUAGUAAUGUUCUGAAUGUGUUGGUCUCACUUCAAUGGAAUGCGAUUGCAAGUUUCUGAAAUUUCUGAAUGGCUCUGUUCUCGUGAGAUAUGCUGUCCGUUCCAUGCCAUCUGUUGUGAUUAAAGUGUUGAGUUGCUGGAACGAAUAGAUCUGGUGUAGUCGCUUUUAGAAAUGUGGGCCUGCAGAAUUGAUUUUGUGUCAAAAAUGCUGUUGCAUAUCCCCCUUUUUGCUCUGAAGGCUAGAGUGUUGGAGAUGCCCAAGAGGGCCUGGCCCAAUUAGCAAGCUAAUCACCGGUCACGAAAGGAUUAACCUAAGGGCUAAUUGCUUCCUGGCUGCCGCACGCCAGGCUCUAGCUGCCGCCAAGCUCCUGCCGUAUGACUUGCCUCUCUGGUGCGCCGCUGCCGCCGCACGCACCUGCCUGGUGCACUGCUGCAGUUCCCCUCCCUGAUCAAAGGUUGAUCGCGGGGAUCUCAAGUACGUGCCGUUGAGUGCUAGUAUGCUUCGGUUCGUUGUCUCAUCCCAUACGUGUGGACUGCCGUAGAGGUGUCGUUAGCUUGCACACUUCAUCAGAUUGUACAACUACCUCGACGUCGAUUGGAUCGACUACUCAUGCUUCAUCAAGACUUCCGCUGUGACGCGCGACGAACGAAGGUAUAAUCUAAGAUCAUCUACUCGCAAGUGAUCCUGUUUACGCGUUUAUUUUAUUGUGUGCUAGAGAGUAGCAUGACGCGUUCCCUACCGCGUUUCCUAACAUAGAGCUGGUGCCCUCA
Molecule: long non-coding RNA, 879 nt
Filed under: Setaria italica (foxtail millet)
Lineage: Eukaryota; Viridiplantae; Streptophyta; Magnoliopsida; Poales; Poaceae
Description: long non-coding RNA (SITA_LNC001010)
Source: RNAcentral